RNAcentral lists this ribosomal RNA (274 nucleotides) under uncultured bacterium. RNAcentral's name for it is "partial 16S ribosomal RNA". It matches the Rfam family "Bacterial small subunit ribosomal RNA", at positions 523 to 796 of the family's 1533-position model. The record is from RNAcentral.
AUACGGAGGGUGCGAGCGUUAAUCGGAAUUACUGGGCGUAAAGCGUACGUAGGCGGUUUGCUAAGUCAGAUGAGAAAGCCCCGGGCUUAACCUGGGAACUGCAUUUGAUACUGGCAGACUAGAGUAUGAUAGAGGGGGGUAGAAUUCCUGGUGUAGCGGUGAAAUGCGUAGAUAUCAGGAGGAAUACCAGUGGCGAAGGCGGCCCCCUGGAUCAAUACUGACGCUGAGGUACGAAAGCGUGGGGAGCGAACAGGAUUAGAAACCCUAGUAGUCC